This is a long non-coding RNA of Triplophysa rosa, 2628 nucleotides long. RefSeq lists it as uncharacterized. The record is from RefSeq and is a predicted model, not a curated record. The transcript is spliced from 2 exons. NCBI's taxonomy places the organism in Eukaryota, Metazoa, Chordata, Actinopteri, Cypriniformes, Nemacheilidae.
AGAAAGAACAAAGCCGGCAAUAUAACAGGGGUACCAGAUUACGUAAAUUUGCACCGGGAGAGAAAGUGCUCGUAUUGCUCAGCUCUAAAUUACUCGUGGUAAUUUACCACUCAAUUAUGAGGUGGUGCGGUCAGACAGGAGCGCAUCAAAUAUACCACCUCAACCUCCUGAAAAUGUAGAGUGUGGAGUGAGGCGGACGCAGUGAUGUUGGCGACGGCGGUGAGUAGAGAGGAGGAUCUCGGGCCAAAAGUGGGCGCGAAAAAUGGAGGUGGAGAUCACCUCUCGCCCUCCCAGAUCACUGACGUUGCCAGGUUGCAAGCGGAUCGCAGAUGUGUUCUCGCCCCUGCCUGGCCGGACUAAUCUCAUACAGCACCAUAUUGAGACCACGUAGCCGGCCGUAUAGUUUACCUGAACACAAGAAAAAAGUGGUUCAGGCAGAAUUAAUCGCCAUGCUCGAUAUGGGAAUAAUAGAAGAGUCCAGCAGUGAUUGGACGAGCCCGAUAGUUUUGGUACCUAAAACGGACGGCUCUGUACGGUUCUGCGUGGACUAUCGCAUGGUGAAUGCUGUGUCGAAGUUCGACGCAUAUCCAAUGCCACGGAUUGACGAACUGCUAUAUCGGCUCGGUUCGGCUCGCUUUUAUUUGACACUGGAUUUAACGAAGGGAUAUUGGCAGAUCCCCUUAUCUCCUCUAUCUUGCAGUCUGCAGCGGGAGACAGAGGCGGGAAACGGACGGGACGCAAGUAGGUCAUGUGCACAUUAUGAACACCUGUGUCUCGUUCCAGUGAUUGGUGGGGAGACGGUAAAAGCCACCUGGAGGAGACGAACAGGAGAGAGAGAACGGCUGAGAACUCGGGACUAUUGAGAGGAUCUUCGAGAGCGAACACGAAAUCCAUUCUGAGUUAUUGUUGAGUGAUAGCGCUUGCCGCGUGUUUUGUUGAUUUCAUAAUAAUAAAUUCUCAGAGUCCCAGCCACGCCGACCCUGUCUCUUUCCUUCAUUAUAUUGAACUCUGUUAUAAAGAUAUUUUGAGAAAUGUCUCAGUGGUUUUGUGUACAUUAAAUGGAAGUCAAUGGGGGUCAACAUUGUUCGGUUACCAACAUUCUUUAAAAUAUCUUCUUUUGUGUUCUACAGAAGAAAGUCACACAGGUUUGAGGAUGAGUAAAAGAUGACAGAAUUUUCAUUUUUGGGUGAACUAUUCCUUAAAAGCUUCAGUUUGAUGGUUACACAGGCAGAAAGAUAGCUAAUGUUGGUCCUGCUCUUGCUGUAUCAAAUGUAAAAAUGUUCUUAUUAGCUCUUGUUGCGGUCGCCAUGAAUAGAUGUGGCCAAAAAAAAGAGUCUGAUGACUAGCCACACAGUGGUUAAUGUGCAUGUUUAAUAUAAAAGCUUACGCAGAAGUGAAACACAGACAGGAAACUCAUCACUGGUCUGUAAGUGUGUGUGUGUGUGUGUGUGUGUGUGUGUGUGUGUGUGUGUGUGUGUGUGUGCACCUGCAGCUUCUGUUGUAAAAUUACCACUUCUCAAAAACCACUUCUCUCACAUAGAGACAUUUACACCUCUCCAGACAACAGAAUCUCAACACUGAAAAGAACAAUGAGAACUGCCAGGACAGUGUGUUUUGUGUGCUUUGUUUUAUUCUUUGGAACCAGGCAUGCUGAAAGCAACUCGACUGACGCACCAUUGAACAAAACAGAAACUAAACAAACUACAGCGAUCCAAAAUACUUCCAUUGAAAAAUCAUCAACACCACGUGAAACAACACAACCAAAUGGAUCAAAUCGAGAUUGUGUAUGCACUCCGUCCACUACCGAAACCCCAAAAGGAGACUGCAUUUUCUUUCUGCCAGAUGGGAUUCAUCCUAAGUUGAUUCUGGUUUUGGUUGCUCUGGCGGUGGCUUGCUUUAUUUUGCUUCUGACCACGCUGAUAUGUGCCUGCCAGCUUUGUCACAUGAAUGUAAUGAUCUCCAGGUUCCAGCCUCAUCACAGCAACAUAGACCUGCAAGCCAUGAGAAAGAGAAGCGAAUCCCCAUGCAGAGAUGACAGCCGACCAGUAGGGGAACCAACUGAGACCUGCCUCAUGUUAUCAGAGGUCUCAACACAGGAGGCGGAAAACAAAGAGGAGAGCGUUCAACCCAACACCGAGCCGUAUGUGGAAGGUCCAAACGGCGAGGUCGCUCAGGAGAGCGGGAACGGUUGCGAAGCUGAGAGUAAGGAGCCUGAUGUAGAAGCACCAGAGAGCUCGGCCAUAGAGGUGUGAUCAGCACAACACGCUUGAACAAACUGGUGUCACACAGCUCCCCCUGGUGGCAUUUAAAGUCUAUUGCAGCUUAAGCUUGAUUUACAGCUUUUGAACGGUUGUAGGUCUUAAAACACCAGACUCAAGGGGAAGGGAUUUAAUUCAUGAGAAUGAUUUUAAGACUGCUUAUUAAGUUACGCGAUCUAAGACCAAAAUUCCAGCCAUGAAAAUAUAAAAAUAAGCUUUCAACAUUGCAUUUAGUAUCCACAACUUUACUGUAUGACCUUGUUUAAAAUGUGCGCAUUCAUGCUGUUUGUGCUUUUUAUUUUAAAUCUUUGUUUAUGCUUUUUAACAUUUAAGUUUCUGGACAAUAAAAUGUGUCUUCUUCUACCCAUUA